This 8450-nucleotide long non-coding RNA is filed under the name Fragaria vesca (wild strawberry). RNAcentral's name for it is "long non-coding RNA (FVES_LNC001631)". Lineage: Eukaryota; Viridiplantae; Streptophyta; Magnoliopsida; Rosales; Rosaceae. The record is from RNAcentral.
AACACGUCGGAAAGAGAACUGUUCGAUAAUAUAAGCUUAUGAAGCAAAUUCAUAAUAUUCAAUGCGAGUACGUACACUGGAUGCUUCACAUAUCAUAAACAUUAUACGUACUCGAUCGAUCUCUAGUAGGCUAGCUAAGUACAGCAAGCAUGGAAUGAAACAGUCUGAUGUAGGUAACUGAUCCGUACAACAGUGACAAAACAAGGCAGAGAUAUAACAGCUCUUAUUGUUACAUACAUAUCAUGAAACUAAAACACUAAUGAUUCAUAUCAGUUGGGAGAUGGAGGUCGGUGUGGUGGUUUUUCUGGGGCAGUUCGAGGCUUCUUUGCGAGAGUACUUGGAGGCUUUAAUUUCCGGGGUGGCUUGUGUGGUGAACCUUUGGCAACAUCCACUGCAUUCUGUGCGAGGUGACGAUCGUGAUGUGGUGGAUGCUCUCCCUUACCCUUUGGUGGCCUGUGUUCCGGGAAUGGCUUGUGAUCAUCAUUCUUUUCCAGUAGGGUUGGCGGCUUGUGUUUUGGGGGUGACUUCUUUCCUUUAGGAGACUUAUCAUCUACCUCGGUGGAAGAGGACUCUAGCAAACGGCGUCCGGUGUUUUGUUCAUGAGGUGGUUUGUGCUUUGGUGGUGACUUCUCACCCUUGUGAGGUCCGUUACCUGGAUGUCCUGGUUUUCCAUCAGUUUCUAACAAGCGGUGUUGAUGCGGUGGCUUCUCUCCCUUGUGAGGCUCAUUGUGCUCUUGCGGUGGCUUCUCUCCCUUGGAAGGUUUGCCCUCCACCUCCAACAAUUGGUGUUCAUGUGGUGGCUUGUGUUUUGGUGGUGGUUUCUCUCCCUUAUGAGGCUCAUUGUGCUCUUGCGGCGGCUUCUCUCCCUUUGAAGGUUUUCCCUCCACCUCCAACAAUUGGUGUUCAUGCGGUGGCUUGUGCUUUCUCUCCCUUAUGAGGCCCAUUGUGCUCUUGUGGUGGCUUCUCUCCCUUGGAAGGUUUGCCAUCCAACUCUAACAAUUGGUGUUCAUGAGGUGGCUUGUGCUUUGGUGGUGGCUUCUCUCCCUUGUGCUCAUGAGGCAGCUUUUCUCCUUUCGAAGGUUUGUCGUCAGUUUCCAACAAACGGUGCUCGUGAGGUGGCUUGUGCUCCUGUGGUGGCUUCUCUCCCUUACCCUUUGGAGGUUGAUCACGAGGGGUUGAUGGCUUGUGCUCGGGGAGUGGCUCGUUCUUAUGUUUAGGGGGUUGGGGUGACUUCUGCAGAUGAGAUACUUCGACCAUAGGAGGCUUGUGAAUGGGUGAUUUGUGGUGGCCUGAGGGAUGGGUAGGAGGCUUGUGAAUCGUUGGUUUGCGGUGAUCAUCGUGCUGAUCAGCAAGAGUGGGAGAAGUGGUAGUGAAAACCACCACUCCAAGAAGAAACAGAAGCAGAUAGUUGGAAGGCAUUGUGUAUGUUUUGGGAUGGUUUGGGAAAACUAGAGAGAGAGUGGCAAUUUAUAGUGAUGGGUAACUCUCACAAAUGCUGUCACGAGUGAUGUCAUUGUGUAUACUGUUACAAUUUACGAAAGGCAUUGGGUCCUAUAUAUGUGUCGAUCGAGUUGAAAAGUUUGACAACUUUGAUGUUCACACAACAAGGAACCUUAAUGAAGUUUGCACGAUGGGUGUGUUCACAACUCACAUGCCAUGCUUAAUCUGUGGCAUAGUACACUCACUCUCUUCCAUAAUUGAUAUAUAGCAGUAUUGUCUUUAUUUAGUACCAUAAUCUAUCCUAGCUAUAGUGGCCAACACUACCUUUCCCACUUAGGUACUUGUAAUUUAUGAAUGUAGUUAGUACGUACUAACUACGACACAUGAUUACUCUAGCCCAGAAUGAACGAGAAUGUUGUUCUUGAUUAAGUGAAGAAAUUCAACCAGAGGAUUUCAUUUAUAUAUACAAUAUGAUAAUAUUCAAUAUAUCUUAAAUAUAGUGCAUGUCCUAUCUCCAAAGUUUUUUCUUUCCCCCUAAAAAACAGAGAUAAGAGAGGCAUAAAACUUCAUUACCACCCGUAUUAUUAAAGAAAAAAGAGAUACAGUAAGAGAAAGAGGAAGACAAAGUUAAAACCUCCAUAGGUAACUAAAACACAUAAUAAAUAAAAAUUAUCUAACAAAAACGGAACUGAGAAAGAUUCAAAUAGUCACUGAUGCAAACCGAUAUAAUAAAAGAAGAAAUCUCAUCCCACCAAACUAAAUAUGUUAAAGUGAUACCAUGAUUUGCUAAUAAGCCAGCAACUAUGUUACCUUCGCGAAAGAUAGGUGAGGAUCUGAAAUGCAUUUGAGAAAUGCGGCUCAAAUAAUUCCACCAUUGUACUCUACCUCUAAAGGUUAAUUUGGCCAAGAAACACCGAUAUAUACCUUUAACUAAAAGAUUUGGUGAGUUUCGAUUAUGAGUGCAUGUGGUGGGGUCUGUGUGUGAAAGCAUAUGUGGUGGGGUGUGUUGUAUUUGAGUCUGUGGUGGUGUUUAGGAUUCUUUAAAGUUUUUUGACAUACUCAUCGUCCUGGACCAUUUGCAUAAGUUCCAUCUAAUAUGUGAUUUUGCGUUUCACUAUUUUUGGUCGACACUUUGGCGUUUCACUAUUUGCAUCCCCUUAUUUUGUUAAUCUAUCUUGCAUAUAUAUAUUUGCCGAAGUUUGGUGGUUUAUUGCUUUUACUUUACUUUAAUUUGUUCUUUUACCAUAUUGUGGAGAAAGCAAUGAAGUCGACUGAAAUCAAAUCGGGACAAAUCCCACACAUGUGAGAUAAGAUAGUGAAUGUCCCUGCCGACAUCUGUUCGCUCUCAAUAUCCAACGAUUUGUUGCUUAAUUUAAAUCGCUCCGAGGUAUAAGAACAAUUGUAUCGAAUUUCUCGUAUGGACUUUCAUUCUUCUCAAAAUAUUUGAGAAGGUAACCAAGUUGCAGAUACAUUGGUAAAUGAAAGAUAAAUUCAUCGGGUUUGAUAUGGUGGGACUUGUCUUCGAAUUUUGUCAUCUCUCUUUAUAAUAGUACGUGAUUGGUUGGGGCAUCCCAUCUUUCUUUUAUGUUUGCCUUCUUUAUUUUGUUGCGAGUUAUAGAUUUGUUCUUUAUUUUCGGUGAGAGUAGAGUUAGGUCCCUUCUAUGAUAUGGUAUUUUUUUUUUUCAAUAAACUACCCUCGUUUCAUCAAAAAUUCUUCUGUACAUUUCAGCCUUUGAAUAUGAAAUAAAAAGGUUUGUAGGAGCAGAAAUAGAAAUUUUAUUAACACAUCCCUAAAUACUAGAUACACAUCUCAUAUUUAAUACACCACCAGUUAGAUUUAUUAUUUUAAUAUUUUACUAGAUACACAUCACUAAACUUCUUUUUUUUUAAUUUUUUAAAAUAUUUUUUAUGAAAAUGUCAUUCCAUUUAAAUUAGAGCAAACAGUACAAAGAUGAAGUACCCCAAUGGGGUCGUCAGAAAACAUCGUCUUGCAUAAUUGCAAAACCUAUACUAGAUAAAGCAUAAGCUAUGAAAUCCUAAGUACACCCACUUUAUUCGGUUAAGCACUUUUAUUUUACAAGUACACUAGGUUUCAAAGAAAAAAAUCAAGCUUCCACGAAAAAACUAGUUACCUGACCUAAACAAAGAUUAAAUCUUUUUCGGAUUCGGAGUGCCAGACGCACUCCCUUCAGCAGUUUGAGGCAAAACACUCUCAAUCACUCUCACCACUAGAGCUUCAGAGCCAUCAGUUUCCUUCCCUAACUCACUAGUCGAACUAGAGCCUUCGAAAGUGACCAUCUCAAAAUCUGCCUUGUCACUCACCUUAGCAGGAUUUUUGAUCACACCCUCAUCAGAACUAGCUGCUUCUUUGCUCCCCUUGCUACUAGAGGAGUUAGUUUUCUUGUGGGUCUUCCACUUUUUUGGUUGAGCCGCCGUUGCCAGCUUCAGCUCCUCCUUGGAACAAUUUUUGCUUCCAAACGGACGUCCCAGCUUCUUCUUUUUCUGGGGAGAAAUAAUCAGCUUCCCCUUGUCAUGAGCCAAAGUAAUCCCAACAUUCACAAUAUCCAAGGAUGGUUCGAAUUCGGGGAACUUCAGGUACCUUUUCCUAGUCCUCUCGCAUUCCACGCCACUACGCUUCUUACCAAUGAUCUUGUUCAGCACUUCCUUGUCCAGCAACAUCGGUAUCACCUUUGAGGUCAUACCAAUCGCCACCACUUCCUUUCCAGCCUUCGGCCUAGUCUUCUCAGCUCCUAUCAAAACCUUUCCGGCCACUAUAUUCUAUAUAAUAGCGGCAACAUGAACUUUGGUUGUUGUAGCAUUAGAUGACACUUCCAGAGCUCUAGACUUAUUUAUAGGGGAGAGAACUGAACUCUCACUACCCCUAGAUGUACUAGAACGCUGUGAGUGUGAAUUGGUAGGUGACAAAACCCUAGCCACCUUUGCUUUCGGCGCAGCACGUCCAAUUGGCUUCGAGAAUAGUGACAAAUGACUCAUCGCUCCCACCAGCGGAGCUUUCAGCGCCUCCCUCUCCUUCUAAAUCAGAUUAUCACACCCCAUUGCAUCAUGAAUGAACAAUCCACACAAUCGACAAAAACCCUUCACCUUAUCAAAGGUGAGAUCCACCUCUGCCACUCUUCCAUCCAUCUCGAACUCAAUUCCUGCCAAACUCGGGUGCGCCUUCGCACAUCAAACUCCAGUCUGAUCCUUUGAACCUCUUCCUUUCUCUUCAGCGUGGUCUGAUCAAAUCGAAUAACUUGACCUAACCCAGAUCCCACCAUAUUUAAGGCUUUAGGGUUCCUCAAAUUAUGAAUAAGGCCUUACCGCCACCCAUGUCUCUAAUGUAUUCAGAGGGACAGCAGCCAGAUCUCCCCUCCCAUCAUACAACCCUAACACCAACAUGGUGUUUCUGUAGUGCCAGGGUCCUCCAUGCAAGACUCAGUUUCGUUCUGCAACACGCUCGAAAUGGAAGACAAACCGGUUGCCUGCAUCCGACAUCGAGAGGCCUCUCUUCAUUCUCCAGAUCGUCGAGAUCGUCCCUUUGAAUCCUGAAAAUUUUGCUUUUGGGCCCAGAAGGCAUCCCAUCAGAUAUGCAUGGUCUUCCUGAACAGCUCCGCCUCUCUCAACACCGAUCUUGAUGCGAGAAGAGUUAGAGAGAAGUAGUCUAGAUGAAGUGGCUUGAAAAGCCGAUCCCAAAGAUUCAAUAGCAGCGGCCAUGGAUCGAGUUUGUUUUUCGACAAAGGAGACGAAACCCACAUCACUAAACUUCUUAAAAUACCCUUAGUGACAAUACACAACCUAUUCUCUAAAUACACAUCCCUAUUUUAAAUUUACUAUUCAAUCGUUUUCGGGAAAAAAAAAAAAACUUUUUCUCAAUUGAAGCUAUAACAUUCACUUACAUGACUAGAAGAAUUUCAUAAUAAGAUUUUCUCAAACAGUUUCAUCUUUCCUCAAACUGUUACAUCUUGUUAAGAGCUUCCUCGACUAAUUUUCUCUUAUGGCCAGGUUUUCCUUGACAAAAUUUCUUCUCAAGGAUCCUUUUACUCGUAUCAAUUUCAAAAAUACUUGAAAUGCUUGCACCUACCGAGUAAAAAUAAAACAAAACAAGACAAUACAUCAUCAAAGUCCUUAAUGAAACUUUCAGCAUGAGAAUGCUCGGUCUUGCGUAAGCGUAAUACUAAAUUAAUAGAUUAUUAAAAAUCAUUGCAUAACAUUCAUAUAUGUCAAAAAUAUUGCAUUGGUACCCAGCUCAAGCUAAAAAUUAAAAAUUUGAUAUUGAAACAUCUCAACUAGAUUUCUUUAUUUUUAUAUAAAUGUCUCAUUUGAUAAUUUUACGUAGGAAAAUGAUUCUUGGCCUUAAUAAGGCCUAAGAUUUAUGGCCUUAAUCUUUAGUGGCAUGCUAUGUCACCUAGACACAUCACCAAUUAAAAAGAUUAUGCCAUGUCAUUCUUAAGCAAAAACACAAUUUUAUCCUUAUAAAUCCAAUGACUUUUGAUUAUUUUGUCUUUUUAUUAAGAGAAAAAAAUUGAUUUGUCUUUCUUUUAUAAUUAAAAAAUAUAUAUUUGUAGCAUUUUCUUUCUCUUUUUCUUUUCAUCACUAUCAUGCUUAGAUUAAACGUAACAUAUAGUGUGAAAAUACAUAUAUUUUGAUGAGAAUAUACUUAAUCAAAAACACGAAUUCUUAUGAAAUAUAUAUACAUAUAUAAUUUGUCUAAGAAAAAAUAAUUUGUCCAGGAAUUUUUUUACAUAUAUAUAUAUAUAUAAUUCGUCCAAAAUAAAGUGUGUGUGUGUCUAUAUAUAUAUAUAUAUAUAUAUAUAUAUAUAUAUAUAAUCAUCCAAAAGAAAUUCGAUAGAGAUUACCUAUUUUAUUUAUUUUAAAAAUUCGAUACAUAAUAUAGCUUAUAUAUAGAUAUCACAAAGAUAGAAGGAAUUUAAGAAAUUUACCAAGUUUGAUUUAUGGUAUAAAAGCCUAAUUUGGUAUGAUUAUUAACUUGGUUAUUAUUAUUAAUAAAUUAACCAAAUUUGGUAUAUAUGCAUUCAUAUUAAAAGGGUAAGAAAAUAUUCUAUAUUAGUAUGUAGCAUCCAUUAAUUAUUAAAGUUAAGAUUGUAUUUUUACUUUUGAAUGAAAUGACAUGAUUUAUUAAAUUGAUGAUGUGUCUAUGUAACAUGACAUGACAUGCUACAUAGGAUUAAGACCAUAAAUUUUAGGCCUUAUUAAGGCCCUCUAGCACUACCCUUUUACGUAUCUACAAAGUCUUAUAUAAUUUGUAUAAAAAAAGAUAUGUGUAUCUAACAAUUAGAGUUGUGUGAAUAAAAUUUAUCGAGCAGAAAAUAUCUCGUCCCGAAAUAAAAAUGGAAUUUGACUUCCACCACUCACCAAGCCCAACUAAAACCUGCCAACACUUUCCUUUUUUGCACGUCAUGAUUUUGUUUUUUCUCUGUGUCCCUCCCCUCAAAUAUUUUGGGAAAAUUGAUUCGUUUUUUCUUUUCUUUAUUAUUAUCGUGAUUAUCCUUCUACCAAUAUUACUCUCCCAUCAGUCCCAUGCAUGCAGCAUGCAGCUACGUACCUUCUUCUUCUUUUGGUUGUUUCUAAUAACUUCACUUCAUAUUGGAAAAGUAAAUAUAUAGAAGCUAAUUCAUAAUAUUCAAAGUGAGUACACUGGAUGUUUACAUAAGAACAGCAUAGUACGUACUCGAUCACUAGUAGGCUAAGCUAAUACAAUAUGGAAGUAAACAGAGUCUGGUAUAACUCCAUAGACCAGUGAAACAUGAAAGAAGGGAUAUAGCUAGCAGCUCUUAUUUUACAAAUAUCUCAUGAAAGUAGCAAACUAAUGAUGAGCUGAUCGAUGAUCAGUAGGGAGAUGGAGGUUUGUGAGCUGGCUUGUGAGGGGAAGUCGGAGGCUUCUUUGCAAGAGUACUUGGAGGUUUCAAUUUCCGGGGUGGCUUGUGUUUUGGGUGUCUAUCAUCCUCCUUUGCAUUCUCUGCGAGGUGACGAUCGUGAUGUGGUGGAUGCUCUCCCUUACCCUUUGGUGGCUUGUGUUCCGGGUAUGGCUUGUGAUCAUCAUUUUUUUCCAGUAGGGUUGGCGGCUUGUGUUUUGGGGGUGACUUCUUUCCUUUAGGAGACUUACCAUCUAACUCGGUGGAAGAAGACUCUAACAAAUGGCGUCCGGUGUUUUGUUCAUGAGGUGGUUUGUGCUUUGGUGGUGACUUCUCACCCUUGUGAGGUUCAUUACCUGGAUGUCCUGGUUUGUGCUCCGGUGGUGGUUUCUCUCCCUUCUUGGGCUCAUUGUGAUGUUGUGGUGGCUUCUCUCCCUUGGAUGGUUUCCCAUCAGUCUCUAAUAAGCGGUGUUCAUGAUGAGGUGGCUUGUGCUUCUGUGGUGGCUUCUCUCCCUUAUGCUCAUUGUGCUCUUGUGGUGGCUUCUCUCCCUUGGAUGGUUUUCCAUCUAACUCCAUCAACUGGUGUUCAUGAGGUGGGUUAUGCUUUGGUGGUGGCUUCUCUCCCUUGGAGGGUUUUCCAUCCAACUCCAACAAUUGAUGUUCAUGAGGUGGUUUGUGUUUCGGUGGUGAAUUCUUACCCUUUGGUGGCUUACCAUCCAACUCUGAGGAAGAAGACUCUAACAAACGACGUCCAACGUUUUGUUCAUGGGGAGGUUUGUGCUCAUGACCCUUGUGAGGUUGCUCACCUUGUUUGUGCUCCGGUGGUGGCUUCUCUCCCUUCUUAGGCUCAUUGUGAUGUUGUGGUGUCUUCUCGCCCUUAGAAGGUUUUCCAUCUGUCUCUAACAACCGGUGCUCAUGAGGUGGCUUGUGCUCUGGUGGCGGCUUCUCUCCCUUACCCUUUGGAGGUUGAUCACGAGGGGUUGAUGGCUUGUGCUCGGGGAGUGGCUCGUUCUUAUGUUUAGGGGGUUGGGGUGACUUCGGCAGAUGAGAGACUUCGACCAUGGGAGGCUUGUGAAUGGGUGGUUUGUGGUGGCCUGAGGGAUGGGUAGGAGGCUUGUGAAUCGGUGGUUUGCGGUG